Molecule: long non-coding RNA, 1104 nt
Organism: Daphnia pulex (common water flea)
Lineage: Eukaryota; Metazoa; Arthropoda; Branchiopoda; Diplostraca; Daphniidae
Exons: 5
Source: RefSeq, a predicted model, not a curated record
AAUUGUUGUGUGUCUCCUAAUGGCGGUUUGUUGUCAUGAAAACGGUUCGCUGUUUUCAUUCAAUUCGCAGAAAUAUCGUAGGUAAAUUUAAGAUAAUGUUUACAUUUUAUCGGCGAUGCCUUUUAUUUCAUUGAUGUUUUGGCAUAAUCUUCAUAUUUUUCACUGUACCUUUGUAUGAGAGUGAAUGUAAAGAAACAGGAAACUCAAAAGUCUCAACUCUGCUGUUUGCCGAAUUUGCUCAUGGUCUGCUUAGCAAUAUUUUUCAAGAGAUGCAGGUUCAACAUGAUUAUCUUGUUUAUUAUUGAAGAUUUAUUGAUAAACAUGAUGUUGAUAACUAUUGUCGUGUAGCAUGUUUCUAAUGCCAUUAAACAGGCAGAUGGACCAGCUGCCCAGACUGUUCAGCCCUGACUGUCAUUAUUCUUCAGCUUUCCAAAAAUUCACUAGUCAGCAUCAUCAUGUGGACUGGACAUACUGGAUGAUCAGGACUAGAAAUCUUCACAUUCUUAAAAAACCUGAUGAGCAUCACCAAAAAAGAGACUUGGUUGUUGAUCUGACUUUUCCUAUUCAUCCUUGAAGCGAAAAAUCGAGCAAAUAAAAAGCGAAAAAAAAACAAACACACAUUUAACGCUCUAUUCACCCCCGUCUGAAUGAUCGGUAAAACUGAUCGGUAAAACUGAAUUGAGAGCAAAGUCGUCCAUUCGCACCCGAUGACUGGCAAGACACAAACGGCCGAUAUGGCCACUUCAGCCGACAAGUCUAUGAAGAAAUGUGUAUUAUUUUACGCUGAGCCCUGAUUUGCUACCAGUUAGCAGUGACAAUCACCGACAUUUUGUGUCAACAAAACCUUAUUGUAGCCCCAAUCGUCAAUUUCCUAAGUAUGGAUAGCAUUGUCUGGAUAAUAACAUUAAAUUCCGGCGAGCAUCUCUUGGUCCUCCCUUUUGUUCGUAGGAAAGGGUCGUGAUGCUGCCAGUAGGGGAUUGUUAUAGUUAACCGCUGAAUUCCUUUUUUGUUCAGCGAAUGCAAAAUGAUUGUUGGAUUUCUUUUUGCUUUGUCUUUUAGGAAAGUUUCCGGAAGUAACAUCAGGAGUAGAAAAUGCUCAUCAAG